This 253-nucleotide ribosomal RNA is filed under the name uncultured bacterium. RNAcentral's name for it is "partial 16S ribosomal RNA". It matches the Rfam family "Bacterial small subunit ribosomal RNA", at positions 524 to 776 of the family's 1533-position model. The record is from RNAcentral.
GACGAACCGUGCGAACGUUGUUCGGAAUCACUGGGCUUAAAGGGCGCGUAGGCGGCUCGACCAGUCUUGGGUGAAAUCUUUCGGCUCAACCGGAAAAGGGCCCGGGAUACUGUCGAGCUCGAGGGGGAUAGGGGCGGACGGAACUUCCGGUGGAGCGGUGAAAUGCGUUGAUAUCGGAAGGAACGCCGGUGGCGAAAGCGGUCCGCUGGGUCCUUACUGACGCUGAGGCGCGAAAGCCAGGGGAGCGAACGGG